UCGGUCAGCUCGUGUCGUGAGGAUGUUGGGUUAAGUCCCGCAACGAGCGCAACCCUUGCCAUCAGUUGCUACGAAAGGGCACUCUGAUGGGACUGCCGGUGACAAACCGGAGGAAGGUGGGGAUGACGUCAAGUCCUCAUGGCCCUUAUAGGUGGGGCUACACACGUCAUACAAUGGCCGGUACAAAGGGCAGCAAACCCGCAGGGGGAGCCAAUCCAUCAAAGCCGGUCGUAGUCCGGAUCGCAGUCUGCAACUCGACUGCGUGAAGUCGGAAUCGCUGGUAAUCGUGGAUCAGCAUGUCACGGUGAAUACGUUCCCGGGUCUU
This 325-nucleotide ribosomal RNA is filed under the name uncultured Hydrogenophaga sp. Its description in RNAcentral is "bacterial SSU rRNA". It matches the Rfam family "Bacterial small subunit ribosomal RNA", at positions 1052 to 1382 of the family's 1533-position model. Lineage: Bacteria; Pseudomonadati; Pseudomonadota; Betaproteobacteria; Burkholderiales; Comamonadaceae. The record is from RNAcentral.